RNAcentral lists this microRNA precursor (155 nucleotides) under Marmota monax (woodchuck). The record is from RNAcentral. Lineage: Eukaryota; Metazoa; Chordata; Mammalia; Rodentia; Sciuridae.
UUCUGAAAACUUCUAUUGCUUUCAUAAACUGGGCAACCAAAACUACAAAGUCCUGAUCCUAGACUAUUAUAUGUAUCUGAGAAAAAGAUUCUUCAAGAUCACGACUUUGAAAUUUUGGUUGCCCAGUUCAUGAAAGUAAUAAGAGUUUUCAGAAA